AUGAUUGCCGAGUGGGAUGAAGAGAACACUAGGAUCGUUACCAACUUGAUGGUCACGCAAGUGAAGGCUGGAAAUAGGCCAAACAAAAUCUUGACCCCUAGUGCAUCUGAGGAAGUGGCAUUGCAAUUCAAAGUGAGAACUGGAUUGGACUACACGAGCCACCAAAUGAAAAACAAAUGGGAUAAGCUGAAAGCAGAUUACGCUUUAUUCAAGAAGCUCAAGCUAAAAGAGACCGGAGGGGGAUGGGACUUUGUUCUCAACACUGUCAAACAAGAUAAGGAGUGGUGGAAGAAAGCAAAAAUUGUGAGUUGUCAUGUUUCUGGAUUGCAUUUAUUUUUAAUAAACCAAAAAUUGUGA
RNAcentral lists this ribosomal RNA (357 nucleotides) under Triticum aestivum (bread wheat). RNAcentral's name for it is "partial small subunit ribosomal RNA". The record is from RNAcentral. Lineage: Eukaryota; Viridiplantae; Streptophyta; Magnoliopsida; Poales; Poaceae.